AAUACGGAGGGGGCGAGCGUUAUUCGGAAUUACUGGGCGUAAAGCGCGCGCAGGUGGCGUGGCAAGUGGCAGGUGAAAGCCCUCGGCUCAACCGAGGAAUUGCCUGCCAAACUAGUUUGCUUGAGGCCGGGAGGGGGAAGCGGAAUUCCUGGUGUAGCGGUGAAAUGCGUAGAUACCAGGAGGAACACCGGUGGCGAAGGCGGCUUCCUGGACCGGUUCUGACACUCAUGCGCGAAAGCGUGGGGAGCAAACAGGAUUAGAUACCCUGGUAGUCCACGCCCUAAACGAUGGGCACUAGGCGUCGCGGGUGUCGACCCCUGCGGUGCCGUAGCUAACGCGUUAAGUGCCGUUUCUGGGGAGUACGGUCGCAAGGCU
This 375-nucleotide ribosomal RNA is filed under the name uncultured bacterium. RNAcentral describes it as "bacterial SSU rRNA". It matches the Rfam family "Bacterial small subunit ribosomal RNA", at positions 522 to 895 of the family's 1533-position model. The record is from RNAcentral.